GAUGAACGCUGGCGGCGUGCCUAAUACAUGCAAGUCGAGCGAACAGACGAGGAGCUUGCUCCUCUGACGUUAGCGGCGGACGGGUGAGUAACACGUGGAUAACCUACCUAUAAGACUGGGAUAACUUCGGGAAACCGGAGCUAAUACCGGAUAAUAUAUUGAACCGCAUGGUUCAAUAGUGAAAGACGGUUUUGCUGUCACUUAUAGAUGGAUCCGCGCCGCAUUAGCUAGUUGGUAAGGUAACGGCUGACCAAGGCAACGAUGCGUAGCCGACCUGAGAGGGGGACGCGCCCCGAGGGAGUGGAACCACGGUCCCGGCCCCAGAGGAGGCCAAGAGUAGGAAAGCUGCCACAAGGGCGGAAGCCUGACGGAGCAGCGCCACGUGAGUGAUGAGGGCCUUCGGAUCGUAAAACUCUGUUAUUAGGGAAGAACAAAUGUGUAAGUAACUAUGCACGUCUUGACGGUACCUAGUCAGAAAGCCACGGCUAACUACGUG
Molecule: ribosomal RNA, 496 nt
Filed under: uncultured bacterium
Lineage: Bacteria
Description: partial 16S ribosomal RNA
Rfam family: Bacterial small subunit ribosomal RNA
Source: RNAcentral